GAUGAAGAACGUAGCGAAAUGCGAUAAGUAAUGCGAAUUGCAGAAUUCAGUGAGUCAUCGAAUCUUUGAACGCACAUUGCGCCCUGUGGUAUUCCGCAGGGCAUGCCUGUUCGAGCGUCAUUUCAACCCUCAAGCCUCGCUUGGUGUUGGGCGACGUCCUCUUUGGGGACGCGCCUCGAAACGCUCGGCGGCGUGGCACCGGCUUUAAGCGUAGCAGAAUCUUUCGCUUUGGAAGUCGGGGCCCCGUCUGCCGGAAGACCUGCUCGCAAGGUUGACCUCGGAUCAGGCAGGGAUACCCGCUGAACUUAAGCAUAUCAAUAAGCGGAGGA
Molecule: unclassified non-coding RNA, 329 nt
Filed under: soil metagenome
Description: partial contains 5.8S ribosomal RNA, internal transcribed spacer 2, and large subunit ribosomal RNA
Rfam family: 5.8S ribosomal RNA (bases 1-120)
Source: RNAcentral